CCCCUAGAUGUUCUGGGCCGCACGCGCGCUACACUGACGAAGUCAGCGAGCAUCUCCUACGCCGAAAGGUGCGGGGAAUCUUGUGAAACUUUGUCGUGCUGGGGAUUGAUUUUUGAAAUUCUUGAUCAUCAACGAGGAAUUCCUAGUAAGCGCAAGUCAGCAGCUUGCGUUGAUUACGUCCCUGCCCUUUGUACACACCGCCCGUCGCUACUACCGAUUGAAUGGUUUAGUGAGAUUUUUAGACUGGAACUCUCUUGUUCAGCAAUGAACGAGAGGGACUCUGGGAAGCUAUUCUAACUGUAUCAUUUAGAGGAAGUAAAAGUCGUAACA
This 330-nucleotide ribosomal RNA is filed under the name uncultured eukaryote. RNAcentral's name for it is "partial 18S ribosomal RNA". It matches the Rfam family "Eukaryotic small subunit ribosomal RNA", at positions 1470 to 1796 of the family's 1831-position model. The record is from RNAcentral.